AGUGAACGCUGGCGGUAGGCCUAACACAUGCAAGUCGAACGGCAGCACAGUAAGAGCUUGCUCUUACGGGUGGCGAGUGGCGGACGGGUGAGGAAUACAUCGGAAUCUACUUUUUCGUGGGGGAUAACGUAGGGAAACUUACGCUAAUACCGCAUACGACCUACGGGUGAAAGCAGGGGAUCUUCGGACCUUGCGCGAUUGAAUGAGCCGAUGUCGGAUUAGCUAGUUGGCGGGGUAAAGGCCCACCAAGGCGACGAUCCGUAGCUGGUCUGAGAGGAUGAUCAGCCACACUGGAACUCAGACACGGUCCAGACUCCUACGGGAGGCAGCAGUGGGGAAUAUUGGACAAUGGGCGCAAGCCUGAUCCAGCCAUACCGCGUGGGUGAAGAAGGCCUUCGGGUUGUAAAGCCCUUUUGUUGGGAAAGAAAAGCAGCAGGUUAAUACCUCGCUGUUCUGACGGUACCCAAAGAAUAAGCACCGGCUAACUUCGUG
RNAcentral lists this ribosomal RNA (492 nucleotides) under uncultured bacterium. RNAcentral's name for it is "partial 16S ribosomal RNA". It matches the Rfam family "Bacterial small subunit ribosomal RNA", at positions 29 to 507 of the family's 1533-position model. The record is from RNAcentral.